Molecule: ribosomal RNA, 439 nt
Filed under: uncultured bacterium
Lineage: Bacteria
Description: partial 16S ribosomal RNA
Rfam family: Bacterial small subunit ribosomal RNA
Source: RNAcentral
CCUACGGGGGACAGCAGUGGGGGAUAUUGCACAAUGGGGGAAACCCUGAUGCAGCGACGCCGCGUGGGUGAAGAAGCGCCUCGGCGCGUAAAGCCCUGUCAGCAGGGAAGAAAAUGACGGUACCUGAAGAAGAAGCUCCGGCUAACUACGUGCCAGCAGCCGCGGUAAUACGUAGGGGGCUAGCGUUAUCCGGAUUUACUGGGCGUAAGGGGUGCGUAGGUGGUUUCUUAAGUCAGAGGUGAAAGGCUACGGCUAAACCGUAGUAAGCCGUUGAAACUGGGGAACUUGAGUGCAGGAGAGGAGAGUGGAAUUCAUGGUGUAGCGGUGAAAUGCGUAGAUAUUAGGAGGAACACCAGUUGCGAAGGCGACUCUCUGGAGUGUAACUGACGCUGAGGCACGAAAGCGUGGGGAGCAAACAGGAUUAGAUACCCGAGUAGUC